RNAcentral lists this ribosomal RNA (460 nucleotides) under uncultured bacterium. RNAcentral's name for it is "partial 16S ribosomal RNA". It matches the Rfam family "Bacterial small subunit ribosomal RNA", at positions 338 to 795 of the family's 1533-position model. The record is from RNAcentral.
CCUACGGGAGGCAGCAGUGAGGAAUAUUGGACAAUGGACGAGAGUCUGAAGCAGCCAAGUAGCGUGAAGGAUGACUGCCCUAGGGGUGGUAAACUUCUUUUAUAGGGGAAUAAAAUGUUGCACGUGUGGGAUUUUGUAUGUACGGUAUGUAUAAGGAUCGGCUAACUCCGUGCCAGCAGCCGCGGUAAUACGGAGGAUCCGAGCGUUAUCCGGAUUUAUUGGGUUUAAAGGGAGCGUAGGUGGGUUGUUAAGUCAGUUGUGAAAGUCUGCGGCUCAACCGUAAAAUUGCAGUUGAAACUGGCAGUCUUGAGUACAGUAGAGGUGGGCGGAAUUCGAGGUGUAGCGGUGAAAUGCUUAGAUAUCACGAAGAACUCCGAUUGCGAAGGCAGCUCACUGGACUGCAACUGACACUGAGGCUCGAAAGUGUGGGUAUCAAACAGGAUUAGAUACCCUUGUAGUC